RNAcentral lists this ribosomal RNA (507 nucleotides) under uncultured fungus. Its description in RNAcentral is "SSU rRNA". It matches the Rfam family "Eukaryotic small subunit ribosomal RNA", at positions 569 to 1080 of the family's 1831-position model. Lineage: Eukaryota; Fungi. The record is from RNAcentral.
AGCAGCCGCGGUAAUUCCAGCUCCAAUAGCGUAUAUUAAAGUUGUUGCAGUUAAAAAGCUCGUAGUUGAACUUCGGGAUCAAUGAAUCGGUCAUGCUUUCGUAUGUACUGGUUCUAUUAGUUCUCACCUUCUAAGGAACCAUAAUGUCAUUCAUUUGAUGUUGUGGGGAAUUAGGACUGUUACCUUGAAAAAAUUAGAGUGUUUAAAAGCAGGCUAACGCUUGAAUACAUUAGCAUGGAAUAAUGAAAUAGGACAUCGCAUUCUAUUUUGUUGGUUUCUAGGAUCGAUGUAAUGAUUAAUAGGGAUAGUUGGGGGCAUUAGUAUUCAAUUGUCAGAGGUGAAAUUCUUGGAUUUAUUGAAGACUAACUACUGCGAAAGCAUUUGCCAAGGAUGUUUUCAUUAAUCAAGAACGAAAGUUAGGGGAUCGAAGACGAUCAGAUACCGUCGUAGUCUUAACCAUAAACUAUGCCGACUAGGGAUCGGAUGAUGUUGAUUUUUUAAUGUACU